UACGUAGGGUGCAAGCGUUGUCCGGAAUUAUUGGGCGUAAAGAGCUCGUAGGCGGUCUGUUGCGUCGGCUGUGAAAACCCGAGGCUCAACCUCGGGCCUGCAGCCGAUACGGGCAGACUAGAGUUCGGCAGGGGAGACUGGAAUUCCUGGUGUAGCGGUGAAAUGCGCAGAUAUCAGGAGGAACACCGGUGGCGAAGGCGGGUCUCUGGGCUGAUACUGACGCUGAGGAGCGAAAGCGUGGGGAGCGAACAGG
RNAcentral lists this ribosomal RNA (253 nucleotides) under uncultured bacterium. Its description in RNAcentral is "partial 16S ribosomal RNA". It matches the Rfam family "Bacterial small subunit ribosomal RNA", at positions 524 to 776 of the family's 1533-position model. The record is from RNAcentral.